AUUGAACGCUGGCGGCGUGCUUAACACAUGCAAGUCGUGCGGUAACAGGCGUAGCAAUACGUGCUGACGAGCGGCGAACGGGUGCGUAAUACAUGGGAAUCUGCCCUUUAGUGGGGAAUAACCCGGCGAAAGCCGGGCUAAUGCCGCAUAAGAUCUUCGGAUGAAAGCGGGGGAUCGUAAGACCUCGCGCUGAUGGAUGAGCCCACGCCGGAUUAGCUAGNGGUGAGGUAACGGCUCACCAAGGCGACGAUCCGUAGCUGGUCUGAGAGGACGGCCAGCCACACUGGGACUGAGACACGGCCCAGACUCCUACGGGAGGCAGCAGUGGGAAUAUUGGACAAUAGGGGAAACCCUGAUCCAGCGACGCCGCGUGUGUGAAGAAGGCCUGGCGGGUUAGUAAAGCACUUUCGGUGGGAACGAAAUAUGCCGGGCUAACUACCCGGUACGGCUGACGUUACUCAAUGAAGAAGCACCGGCUAACU
Molecule: ribosomal RNA, 482 nt
Filed under: uncultured bacterium
Lineage: Bacteria
Description: bacterial SSU rRNA
Rfam family: Bacterial small subunit ribosomal RNA
Source: RNAcentral